CAAACGUAGUUGUCUCCGGACCAUACGAUGACUUCGCUAGUCUGAUUCACAUGUAUUAUUGUGCGCUUCGUUAACAAAUUGGUUUAGUUCAAUUUCGGAAAUCGGUUUUAACGGUUGUGUAACGGUAAUGAUUUUUUUAUUUCGAAGGUCUGCUUAACCUUCCGCAUGAACUUCUAUUAUUAUGAAUAUAAGCAUGAUUUCGGUCAGAGUGCCUUAGUUCAAAGUUGAAGAUUUACCAAUAUUUGGUGAAAUUUUACAAAAUGUCACAAUACUAGUGGGUUAAGAGGCGAUAAUCUGUAGACAUGCAAACUUCACCAUGUGGAUCCGAAGCGACAUCGAACGUAUUCUGCGAAAAAAAUCUAACUGGCCAACUGGUUAAAACUUCCUGAACAUGUUGUUCUAAAAUAUCUAACGGAUACCUGUAGUGCCGUGAUUCGAAAAUGUACCAUUUACAAAGAAUUUAAAGAUAUAGCAUAAAGGUAUUAUGUAUAAACUCCAUGAAAAGAAUUUGUUUUGAAUUUAUUUCAUAUUUUUGUUAUUAUAUUAAAAUUCUUCCGUAUUAUUUCUGUUGGAAAAUCUGUCAACCACGGAUAGCUGUAAUAAUGAUUAUUCCCCUUUAUAACAAUAACGUUUUUCUGUUACGUGCUCUUUUGAACUAACAUGUAUUACAUAAAGUCUUUAAUAAACCACUGUGAACUGUCUAUACAUUUAA
This is a long non-coding RNA of Zeugodacus cucurbitae (melon fly), 712 nucleotides long. RefSeq lists it as uncharacterized. The transcript is spliced from 3 exons. The record is from RefSeq and is a predicted model, not a curated record. Lineage: Eukaryota; Metazoa; Arthropoda; Insecta; Diptera; Tephritidae.